AGCGAACGCUGGCGGCAUGCUUAACACAUGCAAGUCGCACGAGGGGUUUCGGCCUCUAGUGGCGGACGGGUGAGUAACGCGUAGGUAUCUAUCCUGGGAUGGGGGAUAACAGCGGGAAACUGCUGCUAAUACCGCAUGAUGCCCGAGGGCCAAAGGCGCGAGUCGUCUUGGGAGGAGCCUGCGUCCGAUUAGCUAGUUGGUGGGGUAAAGGCCUACCAAGGCGACGAUCGGUAGCUGGUCUGAGAGGAUGAUCAGCCACAUUGGGACUGAGACACGGCCCAAACUCCUACGGGAGGCAGCAGUGGGGAAUAUUGGACAAUGGGCGAAAGCCUGAUCCAGCAAUGCCGCGUGGAUGAAGAAGGUCUUCGGAUUGUAAAGUCCUUUC
RNAcentral lists this ribosomal RNA (385 nucleotides) under uncultured bacterium. Its description in RNAcentral is "bacterial SSU rRNA". It matches the Rfam family "Bacterial small subunit ribosomal RNA", at positions 29 to 437 of the family's 1533-position model. The record is from RNAcentral.